Molecule: ribosomal RNA, 253 nt
Filed under: uncultured prokaryote
Description: partial 16S ribosomal RNA
Rfam family: Bacterial small subunit ribosomal RNA
Source: RNAcentral
GACGGAGGAUGCAAGUGUUAUCCGGAAUUAUUGGGCGUAAAGCGUCUGUAGGUGGUUUAAAAAGUCCAUGGUUAAAACUUGAAGCUUAACUUCAAAGAUGCCAUGGAAACUUUUAAACUUGAGUAUAGUAGGGGUAAAGGGAAUUUCCAGUGGAGCGGUGAAAUGCGUAGAUAUUGGAAGGAACACCGAUGGCGAAGGCACUUUACUGGGCUAUUACUAACACUCAGAGACGAGAGCUAGGGUAGCAAAUGGG